RNAcentral lists this ribosomal RNA (450 nucleotides) under uncultured bacterium. RNAcentral's name for it is "partial 16S ribosomal RNA". It matches the Rfam family "Bacterial small subunit ribosomal RNA", at positions 354 to 796 of the family's 1533-position model. The record is from RNAcentral.
GUGGGGAAUUUUGGACAAUGGGCGCAAGCCUGAUCCAGCCAUGCCGCGUGCAGGAUGAAGGCCUUCGGGUUGUAAACUGCUUUUGUACGGAACGAAACGGUCCGGGUUAAUACCCUGGGCUAAUGACGGUACCGUAAGAAUAAGCACCGGCUAACUACGUGCCAGCAGCCGCGGUAAUACGUAGGGUGCAAGCGUUAAUCGGAAUUACUGGGCGUAAAGCGUGCGCAGGCGGUUUUGUAAGACAGGCGUGAAAUCCCCGGGCUCAACCUGGGAAUUGCGCUUGUGACUGCAAGGCUGGAGUGCGGCAGAGGGGGAUGGAAUUCCGCGUGUAGCAGUGAAAUGCGUAGAUAUGCGGAGGAACACCGAUGGCGAAGGCAAUCCCCUGGGCCUGCACUGACGCUCAUGCACGAAAGCGUGGGGAGCAAACAGGAUUAGAAACCCGGGUAGUCC